Onychostoma macrolepis is the source of this 669-nucleotide long non-coding RNA. RefSeq lists it as uncharacterized. NCBI's taxonomy places the organism in Eukaryota, Metazoa, Chordata, Actinopteri, Cypriniformes, Cyprinidae. The transcript is spliced from 5 exons. The record is from RefSeq and is a predicted model, not a curated record.
GUGCCAAGUACAUGUAAUGGCUUCUCCUUUGCUGGCCUUUGUUGGUGCCCUGAUUUGAGGAACAAUUUGUUCUUACUCUCAAAUGUUUGGUGCUGUACAGCAAGGAUUCAUGGAUUGAGUGGAAUCUGAACACUCACAGCUCUAAAGGAGCCGUGAUCGAUGCCGUGAAGAAUCUGCCUUAUAAAGGAGGAAACACACUCACAGGUCGUGCUCUGACGUAUAUUCUGGAGAACAGCUUCAAAGCUGAAUCUGGAUCCAGGCCUGAUGUUCCUAAGAUUGUGAUUCUGAUCACGGAUGGGAAAUCACAGGACGAUGUUCUUUCUCCUGCUCAGAGACUCAGAGAUGCUGGGAUCGAGCUGUUUGUUAUCGGAGUGAAGAACGCGGAUGAGAAUGAGCUGAGAGCCAUUGCCUCCCCGCCGGAGGAGACACACGUGUAUAACGCGGCUGAUUUCAGCUUUAUGUUAGACAUCAUCGAGAGACUCAGCAGGAGCGUCUGCGAGCGCGUCUCUGAACUCAGCAGAGACAUCAGCGGUGACAAAAAUGAAGAUGAUGAAGAUGAUGAAGAUGAUGCCAUCAGAAGUGCUUCUGUUUGCAGCAUUAUUCGGACGGCGUGUGUGCUGCAUUUCUGAAAAACAAACAUGUAUUGUUUUAUCUUCUCAUACCUUGUUG